CCCUUAGACGUUCUGGGCCGCACGCGCGCUACACUGACCAGUGCAACAAGCAUCCGUCCUUGGCCGACAGGCCCGGGCAAUCUUUGAACGCUGGUCGUGAUGGGGAUAGACUUUUGCAAUUUUUGGUCUUCAACGAGGAAUUCCUAGUAAACGCAAGUCAUCAACUUGCAUUGAUUACGUCCCUGCCCUUUGUACACACCGCCCGUCGCACCUACCGAUUGAAUGGUCCGGUGAAGCCUCCGGAUUGGCGCGCACCCCGGUGCUGCCGAGAAGUUGGCUAAACCUUACCAUUUAGAGGAAGGUGAAGUCGUAACA
RNAcentral lists this ribosomal RNA (315 nucleotides) under uncultured eukaryote. RNAcentral describes it as "partial 18S ribosomal RNA". It matches the Rfam family "Eukaryotic small subunit ribosomal RNA", at positions 1470 to 1796 of the family's 1831-position model. The record is from RNAcentral.